GACGAACGCUGGCGGCGUGCCUAAUACAUGCAAGUAGAACGCUGAAGGAGGAGCUUGCUUCUCUGGAUGAGUUGCGAACGGGUGAGUAACGCGUAGGUAACCUGCCUGGUAGCGGGGGAUAACUAUUGGAAACGAUAGCUAAUACCGCAUAAGAGUAGAUGUUGCAUGACAUUUGCUUAAAAGGUGCAAUUGCAUCACUACCAGAUGGACCUGCGUUGUAUUAGCUAGUUGGUGGGGUAACGGCUCACCAAGGCGAAGAUACAUAGCCGACCUGAGAGGGUGGUCGGCCACACUGGGACUGGGACACGGCCCAGACUCCUACGGGAGGCAGCAGUAGGGAAUCUUCGGCAAUGGACGGAAGUCUGACCGAGCAACGCCGCGGGAGUGAAGAAGGUUUUCGGAUCGUAAAGCUCUGUUGUAAGAGAAGAACGAGUGUGAGAGUGGAAAGUUCACACUGUGACGGUAUCUUAACAGAAAGGGACGGCUAACUACGUG
Molecule: ribosomal RNA, 495 nt
Filed under: uncultured bacterium
Lineage: Bacteria
Description: partial 16S ribosomal RNA
Rfam family: Bacterial small subunit ribosomal RNA
Source: RNAcentral